UCCGAACAUUGUGCUCUAGAAUUCAGAGGGAAUUUAGAACGUCGGGUGGCUGGUUCAUUCUACUCCUAUGUGUUCAAGCGCCAACACGGGUUUUGGCUGUACCUUCGAUUUCAGCACUAUCUAGCAUUGGUCAGCGGCACUUCCAGUUACGAGAUAGGAAAAUAACAAUUAUGCAAACUAAACCAUUUGUAUGGAUUAACGCAAAGACAUUUAAAAUCUAGGCUAGCCGACUGCUUGAAAUCAUACUAUCUUUCGGAGAAGGUGUAUUGCUAAGAAUGUUAGUAAACCACUCCCAUGAAGCGAUGGACAACGAGGAUGUACUUGAUUGUUUCGUUUCUGUGAAACCGAAAGUAAAAUAUCGACUUGAGGUGAGCAACUGAAAAAACUGUUUGAUAUUCAUUGUUGAAGUAUCCAGCAGCAAAGACAGAUGAUGGAGAAAGAGAACCAACAUAGACCAUUAAUCAUGAGCUAUAGAGACGCCCUUCAAACACAACCAAACAAAGUAAGGACUUCUGCUAGACCAGCAGCCCCUACUACUGCCCAGAACAGUUACCUGACCAGACUGAAGAGCAGCCUGCAUGACCUGAUGAACCAGCACCCAGAGGGAGUACCCCUGUCCCGUAUGAGUCAGGCCUGUUCUCUCCUCCUGCACCCGGAGGUACUUAAGCCCUACCCCUCCACCAGGUACCUCUUGGCCUCCCUCCCCGAUGUGGUGAGGCUUCAGGGGAUCGGGGUACAGACACUGGUGCUCCCAGCACUAAACCAUUGUGGAGGUGGGACCGAUGCUGGUCGUGUUGGUUGUCGCUAGCCUUCUCGACCUAUGCCAAGCAGGGACCAGGCCGUCCGCAAAGAGACUGAUUUCAAGAUUCCAAUCAAAGCCAAGACAAUGGUAGAACCUCAAAUGUACACAGCCCAUAACGAUAUCAGGGAAAAGCAUUAGGGAAGUCUACAUACAAGACAUUGGCGUGUCUUACAAGACGGGAUACACACAAUCAACACAUUCUUACCAUGAAAGCACACACCUGUGAAUUACAGAUUGAUGAUUUUUUACAUUUUUAGACUGUGGCAAUACAAUUCAUUCAAUUAUUUUAUAUUUAUGAUACAGCAUGGCAAACAAGAUUUCACUUUAAAGUGUACAUGUUUGAACAUAGAUACUUUGUACCCAAUUUUAUUCAUAAUUGACAGAUUUUAGACAAGUAAACCUAGAACAGUACAUAAACCAAUCAUUGUUGUACAGCGUCAAUUUGAUUCUAUUUUUCUUAGGUAAUUACUUUAUUUUUGAUAGAGUGAUAACUAAUUAUUAUAUGGUAAAGUAUGUAGCUUUUCUAAACAUUUAAAUAAAACAUUCUGAAAAACAUG
This is a long non-coding RNA of Salvelinus sp. IW2-2015, 1359 nucleotides long. RefSeq lists it as uncharacterized. NCBI's taxonomy places the organism in Eukaryota, Metazoa, Chordata, Actinopteri, Salmoniformes, Salmonidae. The record is from RefSeq and is a predicted model, not a curated record.